This 479-nucleotide ribosomal RNA is filed under the name uncultured bacterium. RNAcentral describes it as "bacterial SSU rRNA". It matches the Rfam family "Bacterial small subunit ribosomal RNA", at positions 28 to 524 of the family's 1533-position model. The record is from RNAcentral.
GACGAACGCUGGCGGCGUGCUUAACACAUGCAAGUCGAACGGUAAGGCCCUUCGGGGUACACGAGUGGCGAACGGGUGAGUAACACGUGGGUGAUCUGCCCUGCACUUCGGGAUAAGCCUGGGAAACUGGGUCUAAUACCGGAUAGGACCAUGGACUUCACGGUUUGUGGUGGAAAGCUUUUGCGGUGUGGGAUGGGCCCGCGGCCUAUCAGCUUGUUGGUGGGGUAAUGGCCUACCAAGGCGACGACGGGUAGCCGGCCUGAGAGGGUGUCCGGCCACACUGGGACUGAGAUACGGCCCAGACUCCUACGGGAGGCAGCAGUGGGGAAUAUUGCACAAUGGGCGCAAGCCUGAUGCAGCGACGCCGCGUGAGGGAUGACGGCCUUCGGGUUGUAAACCUCUUUCAAUAGGGACGAAGCGCAAGUGACGGUACCUAUAGAAGAAGCACCGGCCAACUACGUGCCAGCAGCCGCGGUAAU